This is a long non-coding RNA of Phacochoerus africanus (Common warthog), 266 nucleotides long. RefSeq lists it as uncharacterized. The transcript is spliced from 2 exons. NCBI's taxonomy places the organism in Eukaryota, Metazoa, Chordata, Mammalia, Artiodactyla, Suidae. The record is from RefSeq and is a predicted model, not a curated record.
GGCAAAGCCUGCAGAUGCACCUCCUGCAAGAAGAGCUGCUGCUCCUGCUGCCCCGCGGGCUGUGCCAGGUGUGCCCAGGGCUGCAUCUGCAAAGGGGCCUCGGACAAGUGCAGCUGCUGUGCCUGAAGUCUGGGGAGACCCUGCCCCAGAUGUAAAUAGAGCAACUUGGACAAACUUGCAUUUUGCUAUUUUUCACACGCGCUGACUUCAUGCUACAUCCCUUUUUCUGUGAAAUAUGUGAGUUGUAAUAAAAGUUGUCGAUUUCA